GUAGGGAAUAUUGGGCAAUGGUCGGAAGACUGACCCAGCCAUGCCGCGUGCAGGAAGACGGCCCUCUGGGUUGUAAACUGCUUUUAUCUGGGAAGAAAAAGGCCAUGCGUGGCAAAUUGCCGGUACCAGAUGAAUAAGCACCGGCUAACUCCGUGCCAGCAGCCGCGGUAAUACGGAGGGUGCGAGCGUUGUCCGGAUUUAUUGGGUUUAAAGGGUGUGUAGGCGGCUGAUUAAGUCAGCGGUGAAAGACUUCGGCUUAACCGGAGCAGUGCCGUUGAUACUGGUUGGCUUGAGUGUCGGAGGGGUACAUGGAAUUGAUGGUGUAGCGGUGAAAUGCAUAGAUACCAUCAGGAACACCGAUAGCGAAGGCAUUGUACUGCCCGACAACUGACGCUGAUGCACGAAAGUGUGGGGAUCGAACAGGAUUAGAAACCCUAGUAGUCC
This 444-nucleotide ribosomal RNA is filed under the name uncultured bacterium. RNAcentral's name for it is "bacterial SSU rRNA". It matches the Rfam family "Bacterial small subunit ribosomal RNA", at positions 354 to 796 of the family's 1533-position model. The record is from RNAcentral.